This 372-nucleotide ribosomal RNA is filed under the name uncultured organism. Its description in RNAcentral is "partial 16S ribosomal RNA". It matches the Rfam family "Bacterial small subunit ribosomal RNA", at positions 527 to 896 of the family's 1533-position model. The record is from RNAcentral.
AGAGGUGGCGAGCGUUGUUCGGAAUUAUUGGGCGUAAAGAGCACGUAGGUGGGUUUGCAAGUCAGAUGUGAAAGCCUUCUGUUCAACGGAAGAAUUGCAUCUGAAACUGCUAAUCUUGAGUAUAGGAGGGGAGAAUGGAACUUCUGGUGGAGCGGUGAAAUGCGUAGAUAUCAGAAGGAACGCCGGCGGCGAAAGCGAUUCUCUGGCCUAUUACUGACACUCAGUGUGCGAAAGCUAGGGGAGCAAACGGGAUUAGAUACCCCGGUAGUCCUAGCCGUAAACGAUGGGCACUAAGUAGAGGGGAUUACCUAUAUUCUCUCUGCCGUAGCUAACGCAUUAAGUGCCCCCCUGGGGAGUACGGCCGCAAGGCUA